CGGCUGUAGCCAGAUCAAACAGACCAGAGAAGCUAACUGGCCGGUUGUUAUGAGAUCCUUUUUGGGUUUCCGUUAACAUAUCUGCUUACCGAGCUUCUCACAUUU
Molecule: small nucleolar RNA, 105 nt
Organism: Abrus precatorius (Indian licorice)
Lineage: Eukaryota; Viridiplantae; Streptophyta; Magnoliopsida; Fabales; Fabaceae
Product: small nucleolar RNA snoR109
Exons: 1
Source: RefSeq, a predicted model, not a curated record